UCACAGCGGGGCUGCUCCACAGAGACCCCUUGGAUUAGAAGAAAGGUUUCCACGACGGCUACUCUCAAGAGAAGAAUGCAAGAAACUGCAGGGGGGGCUUGGGACUCAAACUUCCAGGUCUGAACCAUCAGAAGUGAAUCUCUGAAGCAAAGGAGGAGGGUGGCCUGGAAAAGACAACACGGAGGGGAGAGACAGAAGCCUCCUGGGGACAGCACGGGCUUGUGGGGAAGGCCAGAGUCGGUCACCGCAUAUGGCCCCUCACACCUGCCCUCAUUCACCUGUCCUCACCCACCUGUCCUCACCAACCUGCCCUCACACACCUGUCCUCACUCACCUGUCCUCACACACCUGUUCUCACUCACCUGCCUCACUCAUCUGUCCUCCCCUACCUGUCCUCACACACCUGUCCUAACCCACCUGUCCUCACACACCUGGCCUCACUCAUCUGUCCUCACCCACCUGUCCUCACUCACCUGUCCUCACCCACCGGUCCUCACCCACCAAUCCUCACUCACCUGUCCUCACCCACCUGUUCUAACUCACCUGUCUUCACCCACUGGUCCUCACGCAUCUGUCCUCACUCACCUGUCCUCACCCACCUGUCUUCACUCACCUGUCCUCACACACCUGUCCUCACACACCUGUUAUCUUCACUCACCCCUCACACACCUGUCCUCACUCAAAUUUUUCACUCACCUGUCCUCACCCACCUGUCCUCACAUACUUGUCCUCACUCACCUGUUCUCACCCACCUGUCCUCACUUACCUGCCCUCACACACCUGUCCUCACUCACCGGCCCUCACUCACCUGUCCUCACCCACCUGUCCUCACUCACCUGUCCUCACCAUCUGUCGUCGCACACCUGUCCUCACUCACCUGCCCACACACACCUGUCCUCACUCACCUGCCCUCACUCACCUGUCCUCACUCAAAUUUUUCACUCACCUGUCCUCACAUACUUGUCCUCACUCACCUGUUCUCACCCACCUGUCCUCACUUACCUGCCCUGUCCUCACUCUCCUGUCCUCACUCACCUGUCCUCACCAUCUGUCCUCACAUACCUGUCUUCACUCGACUGCCCUCACACACCUGUCUCACUCACGUGUCCUCACCCACCUGUCCUCACUCACCUGUCCUCCACCUGUCCUCACACACCUGUCCUCACACACCUGUCCUGACUCACCUGUUCUCACCCACCGUUCCUCUCUCACCUGUCCUCACUCACCUGUCCUCACCCACCUGUCCUCACCCACCAGUCCUCACCCACCAGUCCUCACACACCUGUCCUCACACACCUGUCCUGACUCACCUGUUCUCACCCACCGUUCCUCUCUCACCUGUCCUCACUCACCUGUCCUCACCCACCUGCCCUCACUCACCUGUCCUCACACACCUGCCCUCACACACCUGUCCUCACACACCUGCCCUUACUCACCUGUCCUCACACACCUGCCCUCACACACCUGUCCUCACACACCUGUCCUCACACAGCUGUCCUGACUCACCUGUCCUCACCCACCAUUCCUCACUCAUCUGUCCUCACUCACCUGCCCUCACCCAUCUGUCCUCACUCACCUGUCCUCACACAGCCCUGGUGAACUCACCUGAGCUCUCGAUUGAGGGGGACAGCACAAUAGGAAAUGCAAGCUUAGCCUCCUUUGUGAGAACAUGAAAACCAACAUUAGGGAGUAGGGGGACCUGGGGAAUGAGUUGCAGAUAGACCCCCGGGGCUAUUCAAAUCGGCCAUUUUGUCCCCAGUAGGUCCUAGGAGACGAGCU
This is a long non-coding RNA of Bos mutus (wild yak), 1779 nucleotides long. The record is from Ensembl. Lineage: Eukaryota; Metazoa; Chordata; Mammalia; Artiodactyla; Bovidae.